This 274-nucleotide ribosomal RNA is filed under the name uncultured bacterium. Its description in RNAcentral is "partial 16S ribosomal RNA". It matches the Rfam family "Bacterial small subunit ribosomal RNA", at positions 523 to 796 of the family's 1533-position model. The record is from RNAcentral.
AUACGGAGGAUGCAAGCGUUAUCCGGAUUUAUAGGGUUUAAAGGGUGCGCAGGCGGAAAAUUAAGUCAGUGGUGAAAUCCUACAGCUUAACUGUAGAAUUGCCAUUGAUACUGAUUUUCUUGAGUGCAGUUGAGGUAGGCGGAAUGUGUAAUGUAGCGGUGAAAUGCUUAGAUAUUACACAGAACACCGAUUGCGUAGGCAGCUUACUAAACUGUUACUGACGCUCAGGCACGAAAGCGUGGGGAGCGAACAGGAUUAGAAACCCCAGUAGUCC